GGGAGGGGCCUGGAGGGCGCUGCGCGCUCCCCCCCGGAUCCCGAGUGUCUCCCUCGGGCCCGGCGUCGCGGGGGCUUCGAGUUUGGGGACGGGAAGGAGCUGCAGGGAAGUGUGCGCGCCCUGCUUAGCCCUCUCCGACUUCAGGGAAAGCAGGGCUCGCAGAGGAAAGGGGUGGGGAGCGCGCUCCCUGCGGAAGGAAAAGGCCCGGCCAACGCCGAGGGCACAAAGGGCCCCCGCGCCGCGCCCCGCGGCCCCUCGGACCCCAGGGCGGUCCCAGGCGGCGGCAGAGCGCGCCACGCACCCAUCGCGUGACCUAGUGCGUCCGGGCGCCGUCGCCCGGGGGCCGCUGCAGGGCGCCUGGUCCGGUGACCUCAGGCUGGAGGCCGCGGCCUCCCGGCGCCAAACGGAGACGGCCCCACGGUCCGGUGCGCCGGACACGCCCGCCCUUCGGCCCGCGAGGAAACUGUGACCCGACCCCACCCCCAUCUCCCGCGGCCGCCGUCGCCCCUCGAGCCUCAGCGCGCGGGGCCGUGCGCCCCAGCGGGGUUGGCCGCCACCGGCGCCCCCUCGGCCGCCUGCCUCCACUGCGGGGGAAGCUAUGCUGGGCCCCUUCUGGGAAGCCGCCACCUUCUGGGCCAGGCUUCUACGCAGUCCAUUCAUCAAGAGGUGACAAGCCUCCCUAGUCCCCAUGAGAUAGGACCUCCUUGUAGGUAAUCUUAAGGAACCUACUUUGCUGCUGCCACCAUUUGAUUUGUUUCUCUGGGACGAAUCACAGCACAAUACCUCUUGGUGUGAUUUCAAAUGUGAUCAGCUUUCAGCUAAAUAUUUUUACCCCACUUCUAACACUGUCGGGGAAUCCCAGAUAGCACACAGCGGUAAAUGGCGUGUAUUGUUCCAUAAAUCCUGAGACUUCAAAUAGGAACACUAAGUAGAAAAACAAAACUCUAAAGCAGCGGUUCUCAACCUGUGGGUCGCGACCCCUUUGGGGAUCGAACGACCCUUUCACCGGGGUCGCCUAAGACCAUCGGAAAACACAUAUAUAAUUACAUGUUGUCUUUGUGAUUAAUCACGAUGCUGUCAUUAUGUUCAAUUUGUAACGAUGAAAACACAUCCUGCAUAUCAGAUAUUUACAUGACGAUUCAUAACAGUAGCAACAUUACAGUUAUGAAGUAGCCACGAAAAUAAUUUUAUGGUUGGGGGUCACCACAACAUGAGGAACUGUAUGAAAGGGCCGUGGCGUUAGGAAGGUUGGGAACCGCUGCUCUAAAGCAAUGAAAAGAGGAGCGCGCCUCUUCCCUCCCUCCGGUGGGCACGGGGACCAUUUGGUCGCACAAAGGCAGUUAAGAUGACGGAACGGGGCGUGGCUGCUCUGGCGGCUUCUUUGUCUUGAACGGGUUUGCACGCUGCUGUUCUGAGUUCACACAUUUUACAUCCAUCCCUUCGGACAGUUCCUCAUGGAUCAGACAAUGAAGCUUCCUUUCCUUUAUAUGCGUACCUGUAGGGAUAAAGUAAGUAUAAAGAUCAUCCCUUUCUGAUACUUGGGUACAUUUCGAUUUGAUUUGGGCUUCCGUCGAACACUGGCAAAGAAAGAUGGAGGAUGCACUCUGCCAGCGCGGGGCCCGGUCACCCCAGUCUGUGGAGGCAGACACGAGCCACUGCGAGUCUGUUUUCUGGCCUUCCAUUCCCUUUUCUCCUAAUUCUCUCCACUAAUUCUGGGUGGAAAUGAACCGCCAUUAAACAAAGCUCCCCCUUUGUCAAUGUCCAAAUCCGGGGUGGCAGGAAAAUUAGUGAUAUCAAAAAUGGGGGCGGACAGUGACUAUUAUUUCAAAAGGUAAUUUAGUUAUAUCUAUGCAAAUUUAAGAUGUACAUAUAUGCUUUCUAAAAAAAAUUUUUUUUAAAUUGAUUUCAGAGAACAAGGGAGAGGGAAAGAGAUAGAAACACCAAUGAUGAAGAGAAUCACUGAUCAGUGGCCUCCUGCAUGCCUCCUACUGGGGACUGAGCCUUCAACCUGGGCAUGUGCCCUGCUGGGAAUUGAACCUCGACUUCCUGGUUCAUAGGUCGAUGCUCAACCACUGAGCCACACCAGCCAGGCAAGAUGUACAUAUAUACUUUUAAUCCGGCAAUCCCAUUGCUACAAUUCUACCUAUGGCUAUUAAACUU
Myotis daubentonii (Daubenton's bat) is the source of this 2160-nucleotide long non-coding RNA. RefSeq lists it as uncharacterized. NCBI's taxonomy places the organism in Eukaryota, Metazoa, Chordata, Mammalia, Chiroptera, Vespertilionidae. The record is from RefSeq and is a predicted model, not a curated record.